AGUGAACGCUGGCGGUAGGCCUAACACAUGCAAGUCGAACGGCAGCACAGUAAGAGCUUGCUCUUACGGGUGGCGAGUGGCGGACGGGUGAGGAAUACAUCGGAAUCUACUUUUUCGUGGGGGAUAACGUAGGGAAACUUACGCUAAUACCGCAUACGACCUACGGGUGAAAGCAGGGGAUCUUCGGACCUUGCGCGAUUGAAUGAGCCGAUGUCGGAUUAGCUAGUUGGCGGGGUAAAGGCCCACCAAGGCGACGAUCCGUAGCUGGUCUGAGAGGAUGAUCAGCCACACUGGAACUGAGACACGGUCCAGACUCCUACGGGAGGCAGCAGUGGGGAAUAUUGGACAAUGGGCGCAAGCCUGAUCCAGCCAUACCGCGUGGGUGAAGAAGGCCUUCGGGUUGCAAAGCCCUUUUGUUGGGAAAGAAAAGCAGCAGGUUAAUACCCCGCUGUUCUGACGGUACCCAAAGAAUAAGCACCGGCUAACUUCAUG
RNAcentral lists this ribosomal RNA (492 nucleotides) under uncultured bacterium. Its description in RNAcentral is "partial 16S ribosomal RNA". It matches the Rfam family "Bacterial small subunit ribosomal RNA", at positions 29 to 507 of the family's 1533-position model. The record is from RNAcentral.